AUCUUUUCAAUCGUGUAGACUAAUUGUUGGAAAUAUACAUUAUUAUAAUUCUGUGACUCUCAGUGUUAUACCGCAUCAACCACCCCGAUUAUCCUAACCGAAAUACGGGGAUCGAACUAUUUGUGGUGUCGAUUAUUCUAAUCGUAACGGGAAUUUACGACUCUCGUUGACGCGUCUCCCCGCGAUAGCUCGAUUUUUACAGUAAUAAUGAAAAAUACUGUUUUCGGAGUAACGAUUAGAUUGUGGAUUUUUGCGCGAAUUCAUAAAGAAUGGACUCUAAGAAUGAAUUUGUUUCAUUCUCAAUUACGGUUGCAGGUCUUAAAAGUGACUCAUAGAGAAUGGUUAGAUCGGUAAAUAAGUAACAUGAGACGCAACAGGAUCUGAAAGUGAGCUAUUCGGUUUCCAUCUUUCGCUCGGGCACUGCAAAACUAUAUCGACGAUGGUUUCUCAUUUCUGCAUAAAAUUUCACCGCAAGCCACCGAAAGAUUUUUAGAACACGAUCGCAAAAUGAAUCACGAAUUCAGCAAAAUGAAUAUGGAAAUCCUACACACUUUUACUGUACUGAUGAGAAAUUCCGACAAGUAUAUUAUAAAUAAUUAGUAAUAAGAGACCAUACAAUACUGAAGAAUUUUUAUAUAUUAAAUACAGAUAAUUCAGUAAAAUUACACAAAAUUCUAAUAUAUUGUAUCUACAUGUUAUAAAAAUUAUGUUUAACGAAUUGUAUAUUAUAUUGACAUUGUUUACUAUUGUUAAUUUAAUUCAAU
RNAcentral lists this unclassified non-coding RNA (764 nucleotides) under Bombus terrestris (buff-tailed bumblebee). Its description in RNAcentral is "misc RNA ENSBTSG00005031380.1". The record is from RNAcentral. Lineage: Eukaryota; Metazoa; Arthropoda; Insecta; Hymenoptera; Apidae.